Molecule: unclassified non-coding RNA, 221 nt
Filed under: Hevea brasiliensis (rubber tree)
Lineage: Eukaryota; Viridiplantae; Streptophyta; Magnoliopsida; Malpighiales; Euphorbiaceae
Source: RNAcentral
GCAGGCAAGAGGCCUAGGCCUGGGACUAGAGGGAUGGAGAGACAAUUGAGCCAGGGUUACGUCCUCAUCUCCAGCAGAUUUGGGAUUCUUGUCACCUAGCGAAGCCGUUUUGUUCAAAUUUCCCUCUUCCGCCUCCCUCUUUAUCCUUUCUGCCAUGACUUGCCUCGCCAAUUUGUCUCCAAGCAAACCUGAGAGCUUGAAAGGGAAAAAAAAAAAAAAAA